Molecule: transfer RNA, 73 nt
Filed under: Thalassospira sp. HJ
Lineage: Bacteria; Pseudomonadati; Pseudomonadota; Alphaproteobacteria; Rhodospirillales; Thalassospiraceae
Rfam family: tRNA
About the family: Transfer RNA (tRNA) molecules are approximately 80 nucleotides in length. Their secondary structure includes four short double-helical elements and three loops (D, anti-codon, and T loops).
Source: Rfam by way of RNAcentral
AGGAGUGUAGCUCAGUUGGUAGAGCAUCGGUCUCCAAAACCGAGUGUCGGGGGUUCGAGUCCCUCCUCUCCUG